This 2904-nucleotide ribosomal RNA is filed under the name Escherichia coli O104:H4 str. LB226692. RNAcentral describes it as "bacterial LSU rRNA". It matches the Rfam family "Bacterial large subunit ribosomal RNA". The record is from RNAcentral. Lineage: Bacteria; Pseudomonadati; Pseudomonadota; Gammaproteobacteria; Enterobacterales; Enterobacteriaceae.
GGUUAAGCGACUAAGCGUACACGGUGGAUGCCCUGGCAGUCAGAGGCGAUGAAGGACGUGCUAAUCUGCGAUAAGCGUCGGUAAGGUGAUAUGAACCGUUAUAACCGGCGAUUUCCGAAUGGGGAAACCCAGUGUGAUUCGUCACACUAUCAUUAACUGAAUCCAUAGGUUAAUGAGGCGAACCGGGGGAACUGAAACAUCUAAGUACCCCGAGGAAAAGAAAUCAACCGAGAUUCCCCCAGUAGCGGCGAGCGAACGGGGAGCAGCCCAGAGCCUGAAUCAGUGUGUGUGUUAGUGGAAGCGUCUGGAAAGGCGCGCGAUACAGGGUGACAGCCCCGUACACAAAAAUGCACAUGCUGUGAGCUCGAUGAGUAGGGCGGGACACGUGGUAUCCUGUCUGAAUAUGGGGGGACCAUCCUCCAAGGCUAAAUACUCCUGACUGACCGAUAGUGAACCAGUACCGUGAGGGAAAGGCGAAAAGAACCCCGGCGAGGGGAGUGAAAAAGAACCUGAAACCGUGUACGUACAAGCAGUGGGAGCACGCUUAGGCGUGUGACUGCGUACCUUUUGUAUAAUGGGUCAGCGACUUAUAUUCUGUAGCAAGGUUAACCGAAUAGGGGAGCCGAAGGGAAACCGAGUCUUAACUGGGCGUUAAGUUGCAGGGUAUAGACCCGAAACCCGGUGAUCUAGCCAUGGGCAGGUUGAAGGUUGGGUAACACUAACUGGAGGACCGAACCGACUAAUGUUGAAAAAUUAGCGGAUGACUUGUGGCUGGGGGUGAAAGGCCAAUCAAACCGGGAGAUAGCUGGUUCUCCCCGAAAGCUAUUUAGGUAGCGCCUCGUGAAUUCAUCUCCGGGGGUAGAGCACUGUUUCGGCAAGGGGGUCAUCCCGACUUACCAACCCGAUGCAAACUGCGAAUACCGGAGAAUGUUAUCACGGGAGACACACGGCGGGUGCUAACGUCCGUCGUGAAGAGGGAAACAACCCAGACCGCCAGCUAAGGUCCCAAAGUCAUGGUUAAGUGGGAAACGAUGUGGGAAGGCCCAGACAGCCAGGAUGUUGGCUUAGAAGCAGCCAUCAUUUAAAGAAAGCGUAAUAGCUCACUGGUCGAGUCGGCCUGCGCGGAAGAUGUAACGGGGCUAAACCAUGCACCGAAGCUGCGGCAGCGACGCUGAUGCGUUGUUGGGUAGGGGAGCGUUCUGUAAGCCUGUGAAGGUGUGCUGUGAGGCAUGCUGGAGGUAUCAGAAGUGCGAAUGCUGACAUAAGUAACGAUAAAGCGGGUGAAAAGCCCGCUCGCCGGAAGACCAAGGGUUCCUGUCCAACGUUAAUCGGGGCAGGGUGAGUCGACCCCUAAGGCGAGGCCGAAAGGCGUAGUCGAUGGGAAACAGGUUAAUAUUCCUGUACUUGGUGUUACUGCGAAGGGGGACGGAGAAGGCUAUGUUGGCCGGGCGACGGUUGUCCCGGUUUAAGCGUGUAGGCUGGUUUUCCAGGCAAAUCCGGAAAAUCAAGGCUGAGGCGUGAUGACGAGGCACUACGGUGCUGAAGCAACAAAUGCCCUGCUUCCAGGAAAGCCUCUAAGCAUCAGGUAACAUCAAAUCGUACCCCAAACCGACACAGGUGGUCAGGUAGAGAAUACCAAGGCGCUUGAGAGAACUCGGGUGAAGGAACUAGGCAAAAUGGUGCCGUAACUUCGGGAGAAGGCACGCUGAUAUGUAGGUGAAGCGACUUGCUCGUGGAGCUGAAAUCAGUCGAAGAUACCAGCUGGCUGCAACUGUUUAUUAAAAACACAGCACUGUGCAAACACGAAAGUGGACGUAUACGGUGUGACGCCUGCCCGGUGCCGGAAGGUUAAUUGAUGGGGUUAGCGCAAGCGAAGCUCUUGAUCGAAGCCCCGGUAAACGGCGGCCGUAACUAUAACGGUCCUAAGGUAGCGAAAUUCCUUGUCGGGUAAGUUCCGACCUGCACGAAUGGCGUAAUGAUGGCCAGGCUGUCUCCACCCGAGACUCAGUGAAAUUGAACUCGCUGUGAAGAUGCAGUGUACCCGCGGCAAGACGGAAAGACCCCGUGAACCUUUACUAUAGCUUGACACUGAACAUUGAGCCUUGAUGUGUAGGAUAGGUGGGAGGCUUUGAAGUGUGGACGCCAGUCUGCAUGGAGCCGACCUUGAAAUACCACCCUUUAAUGUUUGAUGUUCUAACGUGGACCCGUAAUCCGGGUUGCGGACAGUGUCUGGUGGGUAGUUUGACUGGGGCGGUCUCCUCCUAAAGAGUAACGGAGGAGCACGAAGGUUGGCUAAUCCUGGUCGGACAUCAGGAGGUUAGUGCAAUGGCAUAAGCCAGCUUGACUGCGAGCGUGACGGCGCGAGCAGGUGCGAAAGCAGGUCAUAGUGAUCCGGUGGUUCUGAAUGGAAGGGCCAUCGCUCAACGGAUAAAAGGUACUCCGGGGAUAACAGGCUGAUACCGCCCAAGAGUUCAUAUCGACGGCGGUGUUUGGCACCUCGAUGUCGGCUCAUCACAUCCUGGGGCUGAAGUAGGUCCCAAGGGUAUGGCUGUUCGCCAUUUAAAGUGGUACGCGAGCUGGGUUUAGAACGUCGUGAGACAGUUCGGUCCCUAUCUGCCGUGGGCGCUGGAGAACUGAGGGGGGCUGCUCCUAGUACGAGAGGACCGGAGUGGACGCAUCACUGGUGUUCGGGUUGUCAUGCCAAUGGCACUGCCCGGUAGCUAAAUGCGGAAGAGAUAAGUGCUGAAAGCAUCUAAGCACGAAACUUGCCCCGAGAUGAGUUCUCCCUGACUCCUUGAGAGUCCUGAAGGAACGUUGAAGACGACGACGUUGAUAGGCCGGGUGUGUAAGCGCAGCGAUGCGUUGAGCUAACCGGUACUAAUGAACCGUGAGGCUUAACCUUAC